AUUGAACGCUGGCGGCAGGCCUAACACGUGCAAGUCGAACGGUAACAGGAAGAAGCUUGCUUCUUUGCUGACGAGUGGCGGACGGGUGAGUAAUGUCUGGGAAACUGCCUGAUGGAGGGGGAUAACUACUGGAAACGGUAGCUAAUACCGCAUAACGUCGCAAGACCAAAGAGGGGGACCUUCGGGCCUCUUGCCACCGGAUGUGCCCAGAUGGGAUUAGCUAGUAGGUGGGGUAACGGCUCACCUAGGCGACGAUCCCUAGCUGGUCUGAGAGGAUGACCAGCCACACUGGAACUGAGACACGGUCCAGACUCCUACGGGAGGCAGCAGUGGGGAAUAUUGCACAAUGGGCGCAAGCCUGAUGCAGCCAUGCCGCGUGUAUGAAGAAGGCCUUCGGGUUGUAAAGUACUUUCAGCGGGGAGGAAGGGAGUAAAGUUAAUACCUUUACUCAUUGACGUUACCCGCAGAAGAAGCACCGGCUAACUCCGUG
This 490-nucleotide ribosomal RNA is filed under the name uncultured bacterium. RNAcentral describes it as "partial 16S ribosomal RNA". It matches the Rfam family "Bacterial small subunit ribosomal RNA", at positions 30 to 507 of the family's 1533-position model. The record is from RNAcentral.